GGGGGCGUUUUGGGAUUCGACGGAGACAGUUCGAGCGUCGGUAGCGAGCCGAGGGGCUGCGUCCUUCGUCAAAAACGCGGAUUGCCUAAAUGUAACUGGCAAACAAGAAAACUACGCUCUGGCUGCCUAAUUUAGCCGGCCAGGAUCCGUCUCUCCAUCGCCCGUGUGGCGAGUUCGGGUCUCAAAUUUCAGCGGGCUAGCCGAUCGGCAUGCCGUCGACCGUGAGGCGAACUUAAGAUGGCUAGUCCUUCGGAACGCCUGUCACCGGGCAGUCCGAUGAACGAAUCCUCAAUACGGUGACUGCGCUCGGAGAAUCCGGCGUGGCGAUGUCUUCGGACAGCGGUUCGACUCCGCUCGCCUCCACCA
RNAcentral lists this transfer-messenger RNA (366 nucleotides) under Desmospora profundinema. It matches the Rfam family "transfer-messenger RNA". From Rfam's summary of the family: Bacterial tmRNA, also known as 10Sa RNA or SsrA, is named for its dual tRNA and mRNA-like properties. Its role is to liberate the mRNA from a stalled ribosome. Lineage: Bacteria; Bacillati; Bacillota; Bacilli; Caryophanales; Thermoactinomycetaceae. The record is from RNAcentral.